AGCAGCCGCGGUAAUUCCAGCUCCAAUAGCGUAUAUUAAAGUUGUUGCAGUUAAAAAGCUCGUAGUUGAAUUUCGGGAUCAAGUCGUUGGUCGUGCCUCGGUACGCACUGGUGACAUUGGUUUCUCCCUUCUGAAGAACCUUGAUGUCAUUAAUUUGGUGUCUUGGGGAAUCAGGACUGUUACUUUGAAAAAAUUAGAGUGUUUAAGGCAAGCUCACGCUUGAAUACAUUAGCAUGGAAUAAUGAAAUAGGACGUUUGAUUCUAUUUUGUUGGUUUCUAGGAUCGACGUAAUGAUUAAUAGGGAUAGUUGGGGGCAUUAGUAUUCAAUUGUCAGAGGUGAAAUUCUUGGAUUUAUUGAAGACUAACUACUAGCGAAAGCAUUUGCCAAGGAUGUUUUCAUUAAUCAAGAACGAAAGUUAGGGGAUCGAAGACGAUCAGAUACCGUCGUAGUCGUUAACCAUAAACUAUGCCGACUAGGGAUCGGAUGAUGUUAAUUUUUAAUGACUCAUUCGGCGCCUUA
RNAcentral lists this ribosomal RNA (520 nucleotides) under uncultured Glomus. RNAcentral describes it as "SSU rRNA". It matches the Rfam family "Eukaryotic small subunit ribosomal RNA", at positions 569 to 1090 of the family's 1831-position model. The record is from RNAcentral. Lineage: Eukaryota; Fungi; Glomeromycota; Glomeromycetes; Glomerales; Glomeraceae.